Molecule: ribosomal RNA, 468 nt
Filed under: uncultured bacterium
Lineage: Bacteria
Description: partial 16S ribosomal RNA
Rfam family: Bacterial small subunit ribosomal RNA
Source: RNAcentral
GACGAACGCUGGCGGCGUGCUUAACACAUGCAAGUCGAACGGAAAGGCCCUGCUUUUGUGGGGUGCUCGAGUGGCGAACGGGUGAGUAACACGUGAGUAACCUGCCCUUGACUUUGGGAUGACUUCAGGAAACUGGGGCUAAUACCGGAUAGGAGCUCCUGCUGCAUGGUGGGGGUUGGAAAGUUUCGGCGGUUGGGGAUGGACUCGCGGCUUAUCAGCUUGUUGGUGGGGUAGUGGCUUACCAAGGCUUUGACGGGUAGCCGGCCUGAGAGGGUGACCGGCCACAUUGGGACUGAGAUACGGCCCAGACUCCUACGGGAGGCAGCAGUGGGGAAUAUUGCACAAUGGGCGGAAGCCUGAUGCAGCAACGCCGCGUGCGGGAUGGCGGCCUUCGGGUUGUAAACCGCUUUCGCCUGUGACGAAGCGUGAGUGACGGUAAUGGGUAAAGAAGCACCGGCUAACUACGUG